This is an RNA transcript of Triticum urartu, 2106 nucleotides long. It is a transcript of the gene named serine/arginine-rich splicing factor SR30, with no coding region annotated. NCBI's taxonomy places the organism in Eukaryota, Viridiplantae, Streptophyta, Magnoliopsida, Poales, Poaceae. The record is from RefSeq and is a predicted model, not a curated record.
GCGUAGAGGUAUUUCCACGCGGCGUCGCCUGCGGAGUCCCGAAGCUUCUCGACCCGCCGGCCCUACCUCUCUGCCCCGCAGCUACUUCAGCCGAAAACCUCGGAACAUUUGUCCAUCUUGAUUGAUUGAUUUCUUCGAUCGCCACCUGCCAGUUGAGUUCUCCGUCAGUUUCUCCCGUCUCCGCCGCGCUUGCCCCCGCCCGAAUCUCUCGGCAGCUUUUCCCGUCGUUCUACAGGCGGUGGCAAGUUUUUUUCGCGAUUAGAAAUCCGCGAAACAAUGGGCAGGCGCAACAGCUGCACCAUUUAUGUAGGCAAUCUCCCUGGGGACAUUCGUGAGAGGGAGGUUGAGGAUCUCUUUUACAAGUAUGGCUGUAUUGUCGAUAUUGACUUGAAGAUUCCUCCAAGGCCUCCUGGUUACGCUUUUGUUGAGUUUGAGGAUCCCCGUGAUGCUGAUGAUGCAAUUUAUGGCCGUGAUGGGUAUGACUUUGACGGCUGCAGGCUGCGGGUGGAAUUAGCUCAUGGUGGAAGAGCUCAAUCUUACUCGUAUGAUCGCCCAAGCAGCUUUAGCAAUGGACGCCGUGGAGGUGUUUCUAGGCGCUCUGAGUUCCGAGUUAUGGUUGAUGGUCUACCUUCGUCAGCGUCAUGGCAAGAUCUCAAGGACCAUAUGCGCCGGGCUGGCGAUGUCUGUUUUUCUGAUGUAUACCGCGAGGGCGGAGCAACCGUUGGAGUUGUGGAUUAUACAAACUACGAUGACAUGAAAUAUGCGAUUAGGAAGCUUGAUGAUACAGAGUUCAGAAAUGCAUUUUCAAGGGCAUAUAUCAGGGUGAGGCAGUAUGAUGCUAGAUCAAGAAGCAGGAGCCGUAGCCUCUCUUACUCAAGAAGUCGCAGCUAUAGCAGAUCUGUCUCUCGAUCACCCUUACCUGUGGAUGAAAGAUCUGGCCAUGCGGCGAUCUGGGGACUGCUUCCAUAGAAAAUUGGAUGCGUUGAGUUCAGCAUGAUGGUUUGGAACUAUGGAUAGUAGAGCUGGAUUAUCAGCACGUAUGGCCAGUGAGCAACAAGUCCUAGCAGCAAGAUGGUCCUGAUAGUAAGGAUAUGUGGAGUGGGUCUUGUGGUAUUCUUUAAAUGAUAUUAAUUCUUGGCUUAAAUUUCAUAUAAUCACUAAAAGGCCCUUGUUUUCAUUAAACUUUAAGUUUUGAGUUAGUUAAUCUUGCAUUCUACUGUAGAGAAGAUGAAUGGGAAAUGUUGUUUGUCAAUCAUUUUCUGGGGCAAGUUUGCUAAGAGGUUGGCAUUUUUUUUUUUGCGGGAGCUAAGAGGUUAGCAUUAACAACUGGAUAGAGAAGGAUGAAGGGCAAAUGGUUUUAUGGGGCAAGUGUACAUGCAAAGAGGUUGGCAUGACAAAUGCGGAUGUAUGUCUUGGUUACUUUCUAUGUUCAGUUUCAUAUUCAGUAGUCACAUCUGAUGAUAGGUAUAAAGAGCCAAAUGCAUAAAUAUGCACUGUGAUAUCGCUCUCGUAUAAUCUACUUAGCCUGUUAUAUUCCAUAGAGGAUGGGUAUGGUUGUCAGGUUGGUUUUGGUGUUAAUUUUGGAUUACACAACACUUCUGAGUAAUGAACUUGGUUUCUGAAACAUUUUGCAGGUCACUGUCAAGAUCUCGGUCUCCUGUUUCUUCGGUUUCUGGAAAAUCCGUGAGCAGAAGCCCUCGGAGCAGGAGCUUAUCCCGCUCUGCAUCUCCUGUGAGGUCGGAUUGAUCUUGGGCGCACCUGGAAGCAGUGAGUGACUACUUCAGGAUCGCAGUUUGCGUCGUAGGUGGUUGCAUAUGCUUUAUCAUGUUCUGCACAACGCUAUGUUUGCGGGACUGGAGCAUUGCGCUUAUCAUGAUGCCUGCCUGUCUACUUGUUAUGUGCUAUGUUCUCAGAUUUAGAGUUGUAUAUUCAGAGGAGACCUGUACCUUUUCUUGAAUGACUUGGAGAUUGAUCUGCAGUUUGUGGUAACUUGAAUUCAGAGGAGACCUGCACUUGUGGCAAUGUGUUAUGUUGUCACAUUAUGUUUUUCCGUAACUCUUAUGUUUGUAAUAAGCACGGCUGGCAUAGCCGCAUUAUGUUUUUCAA